This 655-nucleotide long non-coding RNA is filed under the name Ananas comosus (pineapple). RNAcentral's name for it is "long non-coding RNA (ACOM_LNC037663)". The record is from RNAcentral. Lineage: Eukaryota; Viridiplantae; Streptophyta; Magnoliopsida; Poales; Bromeliaceae.
AAUUUUAAUUUAUUAUAAUUUUUUAUUUAAAUUUUUUAAAUUAUUGCAAUUAAAUUAUUAUAAUUCAAUUAGUUUGGCUAAAUAUUACUAAAUUAUUGAUAUAGAAAUAAAUCAAAUAAUAUGAAAGUAUUGUGAUUGAUGAUACGAUAAAAAUUAAGAUGCUAUAUCAUUUUUAUGUAAAAAAUUGGGAAAACUUCAAAAACCCCCAGUGGUUUCUCUCUUUCUCACUUUGGUACCCUGUAGUUUAAAAUGUAUUAAUUUGGUGCCCUGUGGUUUCAUUUUUAUCUUUUCGACAGCUUUUUCGUUAAUAUUUCGUUAAAUUAUGUACAAAAAACUUCAGAUACCCACCUAGGUUUAUCGAAUAUUUAUUUUAGUACUCUUUAAUUUUAACUUUGUCACUGAUUUAAGAAAAAAAAAUAGUAAAAUUAAUAAUAAAAAGAGAAAAAUAAAACCACAGGCACUAAAUUGAUACAUUUUAAACCACAGGACACUAAAGUGAGAAAGUGCGAAACCACGGGAGGUUUUUGGAGUUUUUCCUAAAAAAUUAAUCAACUUAGCAAACUAAAUUAGAUUGUGGAACUUUUUACAAUUAUUUAGAGGGCUUAAGUUAGAUAUUAUAUAUUAUAAAUUAAAGUUUUGAAAACUAAAAUGUUAU